This 241-nucleotide ribosomal RNA is filed under the name uncultured bacterium. RNAcentral's name for it is "partial 16S ribosomal RNA". It matches the Rfam family "Bacterial small subunit ribosomal RNA", at positions 15 to 244 of the family's 1533-position model. The record is from RNAcentral.
GAUCAUGCUCAGGACGAACGCUGGCGGCGUGCCUAAUACAUGCAAGUCGAGCGAAGUUUUUCUGGUGCUUGCACCGGAAAAACUUAGCGGCGAACGGGUGAGUAACACGUAAAGAACCUGCCUCAUAGACUGGGACAACUAUUGGAAACGAUAGCUAAUACCGGAUAACAGCAUUAACCGCAUGGUUGAUGUUUAAAAGUUGGUUUUGCUAACACUAUGAGAUGGCUUUGCGGUGCAUUAG